CGUGUUUGCGUCAGAUGAAGAUUAUGUCACUCUCUUGGUACAGCUGUAUAGUAAAGCAUGUGAACAGUUUUGUCAGAAAAAGCUGCUGCUCACUGGCAGUACAGCGUCAGCACAUUCUCCUGAUUUCCUCUGACAAGAAGAACUGGAGGUCGAAGGUCACGGGACACAAUUUCUAACCAAGCCAUGUAGAGGGCACUUGGACAUGCCCCUCUUCGUCCAACAGGCAUGGUGCUGCCAAACAAAAAGUCACAGAUGACAGGUUUCUUAUACAGCACAUAUCCCAGCAGGAAGAUGAUUAUGCCAAUGGCUAUGAGAGCAGCCCACCAGGUUAGGAGAAACAUGAUGAUUACAGACACUACAGCUCCAAGCAAAGACAGCCACUUGCU
Myxocyprinus asiaticus (Chinese sucker) is the source of this 386-nucleotide long non-coding RNA. RefSeq lists it as uncharacterized. The transcript has 3 exons. Lineage: Eukaryota; Metazoa; Chordata; Actinopteri; Cypriniformes; Catostomidae. The record is from RefSeq and is a predicted model, not a curated record.